AGUGAAGAUGAAACUUGAACAAAACACAAGUGUAUGUUCAAUUACCUAUAGUACAAUGAGCCUAAUGUCCCAACAAAGAUGACAUAAACACUAGGAGUAAAACUUUCUAGGAGUAGAGAUUUGACAAGAAUGUAGAUUUCACCUUCUACUCAGAUACUCUUCUCCCACCUGUUCCACUGCCUGUCACAUUAUGUGGAGGUCACCAAGAAUUAACCGUGUCCUCUCCAGGUUGAAUGGCAGCCCUAACACAGGGCUCUUACUUUGGUGCACACCCAAGAGCAUGCUAUACAAGGGAUGAAAGCAACAACAUGGGCUGCCUGGUCACUUUCCCCAUUUGUGUCUCAGCCAAAGCAGAUUCCCUGAUUCCUAGGAGUUUGGGAAGAAAUGCAGUGGAGAAAUUCUUCUAACUCAAAGGAAAAAAAAAAAAGCAUAUUAAUUUGGGACGAUUGCCAAAUGCACUAGAAAUAUGAAUUUAAAAUUAGAAUAAAUCAUGAAGAAUGAUACAAAUAAAAUAAAUCUGGUAAUUAUGUAAAAACACUCUUCAUGACACCCAGAAAACACUGACCAAGUCACCCUCAAGUCAAGCAACAGCAAGAUGUCCCACCUAUUACAUCAAAUAUUACUGUGUUGCCCUUAGGAAUCCUAGAGUCAGCCUUGACAUUCUCACCCCAAAUUGGAUUCAAAGACCCUAAUCUUAAACAAGAAAAAUAUCAUUGGCAGCAAAGGGUAAAGCGAAGGUUUAUUAAAAACUGUUUUAAAAGCAAGUAUUUACAAAUCCAUAGUCACCAUGCUCAGAAUUCUCAGAGAACAGACACUUCUGCCUUUUCUCCUGAGCUCCUUUAAUAAUUCCAGGGAGGAAAUUAUAUCAGAGUGGAGGUAACUACUUUUUCUCAACUUUUCUAGUGUUUUAUAUGAGAAAAUAGUUGUGAUGUCGGUGUCUUUGUAAAACAUUAAAAAUAAUCUUGCAGAAGAUGCACAUGUGAAUGGAAAGGAAUGUGCUAAAGACACGGAUUACAUUUAGCUUUCUAGAGGUAAAUUAACUAAAAUACAGGAAAUGUUAAUGCUAUAUUAGGAUAUUUUUCUUUACUUAUCAUGCCCCCCUUCCCCUUCUCUAUGUGGGCUUACUAUGUUUAAAACUUAUAAGUGAACUGAACAGGAUGAACCUAUGCUGAGCAAAUGGAUAGUACAAUUGGAAAAUACACACGGGUAACUGUGCCAGCUCUUGAAGUAGGGAAGUGUAAGUGGAUAAAGCUGGUGUCUAAAAGGAGAAGUGUUUUAGUCGUUUAUUAAGAGUACCCCUUCUGCUUCUCUCUUAGUAAGAUGUUAUUUUUCCAUAAUUGUGUGGUGUCAACAGAUGGUACGAGUCACGAAGUGGAAGAGGAAGAAUCUUCAGCAAUUUGUUUCUUAAUCCAUAAAGUGGAUCCCUGGAAUUCUAUGAGGUCUUUUGUGACCUUAAAAUCUAUGUUCCUUAAAAAAAAGUUUUUCUUUUGAUAAACUGUGUUUAACAUACUCUGUUUCCAUCAUACGCUCUUCAUCUUGUACAUAAAUAUUCAAUAUGAGAUUACAAUCUGGGUUCAACAAAAGUCCACCUAUUUGAUACAUCAAUACAGAUGUUUUAAUUUUUUGAAAUGCUUCCAAUUGUCAAUAUCAAUUUAAAGGUUAACUGGAUGGUCCUUGUCCACUCACUUUAAACCACAAUAAAUAAAUUCUGUGACCAGUGAACUACUUUUUUAAAAAGGCAAAUCCAUUUUAAAGGUAAUGAAGGUUAAAAGUUAAAAGAGAAAAAUGCAUUGGAAAUUGAAGAUACCAAGGCUUUCAGAACCAAGCACACCAUUGCCAGAAAUAUUCCCAUAGUUAAUUUAUAAACUCUUGAAAUGAAUAGAAAUUCUGACAGCUUCUUAAGGAAGGCAGUGCUCUGAAUUCUGCAAUAAUAAUAAGCUAUUCAAGUAUGGAAUGUAUGUGAAUCAGUCUUUCUGGUUUUGCAAGUUACCAUGGAGUUUUUAAGAAUAAUAGACAUAAUUAGAUUUAGUGACUCAAUAAAUAAAUGAAACUUUUUCAUAAGCCACCAGUAAUUUUCCCCUGUUUUAAACUAAAAGUGAGAAAAGCAGAGCUUUCAUGCAUAAAAUCUAUCCUAUGCUCUUGACAAGUGUCUGAAAAAUGCAUGUCCUUUAGUCAAAGAAAGUAGAUAAUUUAUUGACUUCUGACUCAUUCAAUAAAGAGAAAGGAAUAUUUUUAGAAAAAAAUAUAUAAAGAGCUGCCCUUUGCUUUCUUAGGUCUUGUGAGAAUUACAAAAUUAAAAAUAAGAAAAUCGUAAAAUCCUAAUUGCAUGUUUUAGGUAAGAUUCUCAAGUGAAGUUACAUAGCAUACAUCAAAUCAAAUGGAACAGGAGUUUAUCUGAAGGAGAAUAGUUCAGGCUACACUUAGUUUUGCAAAUUGUCUUGGUUUCUAUGACAGCAUUUCCAAAUACAUUCUGUACAGCAUCAGUGUCACAAAAUAAUGAUUGUUCUGUAUCUUUAAAAAGGAUUCUGAGGUCACAUACCUAGAAAAACUAAGUGAAAUGCAAUUGGUGUGUUUAUGGCUGAACUUCUUAAGAUCCUGUUAGUCAACAUUUGCAAGGAUGAAAUGUCCUGAUGAUAUCAUUUUUGUCCUGGUUUCAAAUAUAUCCAGAAUCUAACCAAUGUUCAUCUUCUAUGACCAGCCUGGUCCAAGCCAUUAUAAUCACACACAUCUAAUAGCAAUAGACUUCUUGCUGGCUUCCUUGUCUCCAUCUUUGUCUCCUUAGUUAUAAUCUAUUCUCAACUCCAUAGCCAUCUUGUCUACCUUUGUGCAAGACUCUCCAGUGGCUUCUCAAUGUGCUAACCAUCAAAAUCGCAGCUUGCACCAGACAUCGGCAUAUGGCUUCGUUUUAGCAGUUAUUUCUACAUAGAACACUUUUACCCUGGAUAUCCAUGGAGCUAAAUACCUAACCUUUUAUGUCUCUUUUAAAUAUCAAUUUCACAAAAUGAUAACUUCCCUUAUUAGAAUUUCAACAUAUUUCUCUUAUCCUGUGCUCAUUUCCUUUUAAAAAAAAAUAACACUUCUUAUCCUCUAAAAUCCUAAAUAUACCCAUGUGUCAUGCAUUAUGUUACUGCUUUAUUGUUUUUAUCUCCCCACUGAAAUGUAAGCUCAAGCAGACAGAUGCAUCCAUCCCAAUUAUCCUGAAUGGUACCCAGCCACAGUUGGGUCCCUAAAAAUACCUGCUGAAUAAUGAACACAUUUUUAGAAGGGAUAUAUUGUAUUCAGUUUCUCUAAAAUUUAUUAGGUCCCCAAAACUCUCUAUUUCAUUUUUUUCUAAAAACCACUGACUCACUUACGACAAUUUGAUAUGGAGCACUCAAGAGACAGGAUAGGAAUAAUCUAUAUAUGAAGGACACUAAAGGAUAGAUGAGCUUGAACAUAAUACCGAUUCAAUUCUGUAACAUCCCUAACUUAUAGGGGGAUGUGUUUAAUGUUCUGGCAUUUCACUUAGACCAGAAUAAAGUGAUCUAACUGGGAACAUGUAAAUUGGAGAGAGCUGGCAGAAUAUCUAAUUCACUCUUCCUUUCCCACUGUUGAAAGCUACUUUCAACUGACACGUGCUAGGGAUAAACAAAAGUACCAAUCUAAGCUGAACUUUGUAUUGACAAUUUUUUGAGGAACAAGACAGGAGUAUGUACAGUUAAGUAUCUGUAUGUUGGAGGAUAUCCUACAACCUUCAUAUGGAAAAGAGAGAAAAGAAUAAAUACACACAUAAAUUAUUGCUUGAUUGCUUUAGUCCAUUAGUUUCCUAGAAAUAAAAUGACAGGCUUCCUUAGGUGUCUCAAUGUACAGAAGCUCCUUAUAUUUAAGCAAGAAUGGAUGAUCAGCCAUUAUAAAAUGACAACAUUUUCAUUUUUUUUUGUCUUUUUGCCUUUUAUGGGGCCACACCCACAGCAUAUGGAGGUUCCCAGGAUAGGAGUCUAAUCAGAGCUGUAGCUACUGCCCUAUGCCACAGCCACAGCAAUGCCAGCUCUGAGCCAUGUCUGUGACCUACACCACAGCUCAUGGCAAUGCCAGAUCCUUAACACACUGAGCAAGGCCAGGGAUCGAACCCACAACCUCAUGGUUCUUAGUCAGAUUCCUUAGCCACUGAGCCACGACAGGAACUCCAAAUGACAAAAUUAUCUUAUUGAACAAAUACAUUCACAUCAAUCUAUAGUAACAGAAUAAUAAAAGCGUAUUAAAAAGGAUACCUUGUAUGCUGCAGGCACAGCCCUAAAAU
RNAcentral lists this long non-coding RNA (4279 nucleotides) under Sus scrofa (pig). RNAcentral describes it as "lncRNA (ENSSSCG00000060889.1)". The record is from RNAcentral. Lineage: Eukaryota; Metazoa; Chordata; Mammalia; Artiodactyla; Suidae.